AACGAACGCUGGCGGCGUGUUUAAGACAUGCAAGUCGCACGGGACUAUUUGAGUAGCAAUACAAGAAUAGUUUAGUGGCGCACGGGUGAGUAACACGUGAAUUACAUGCCCUGCAGAGGGGGAUAGCCCAGGGAAACUUGGAUUAAUACCCCAUGGUAUCGCAAGAUUAAAGGUGGCCGCAAGGCUGUCGCUGCAGGAUUGGUUCGCGCCCUAUCAGCUUGUUGGUGAGGUAACGGCUCACCAAGGCUACGACGGGUACCUGGGCUGAGAGGACGAUCAGGCACACUGGAACUGAGACACGGUCCAGAAACCUACGGGUGGCAGCAGUCGAGAAUAAUUCACAAUGGGGGCAACCCUGAUGGUGCAACGCCGCGUGGAGGAUGAAGGUCUUCGGAUUGUAAACUCCUGUCAUCCGGGAGUAAGACCUGGCGAUGAAUAGUCGACAGGGUUGAUAGUACCGGAAGAGGAAGGGACGGCUAACUUCGUGCCAGCCGCCGCGGUAA
This 503-nucleotide ribosomal RNA is filed under the name uncultured bacterium. Its description in RNAcentral is "partial 16S ribosomal RNA". It matches the Rfam family "Bacterial small subunit ribosomal RNA", at positions 29 to 523 of the family's 1533-position model. The record is from RNAcentral.